This is a non-coding RNA of Camellia sinensis, 553 nucleotides long. NCBI's taxonomy places the organism in Eukaryota, Viridiplantae, Streptophyta, Magnoliopsida, Ericales, Theaceae. The record is from RefSeq and is a predicted model, not a curated record.
AUACCUAUCUAUAUAAUAAAUCACACCCGCGUCACUUUGCUCCCUCUUUCCAACGGGGACACCCUUUGCACCGCCGCCUCUUCCCGGACACCCUCCAUCUUCACCACCGGUGUUGCAACCCUUCGUAACCUGUCCUUAUUUCUCACGAUUGUCGAACUCAUUGACUUGGGGAAGAACUGAAGAUUUAGUAAGUUUUGGCCAUCAAUUUCAUGGGCAUUGCCAUAGCAAUUGCCAACUGUCAAAGAGGAAGGUUGCAAUUUCUUCAAUAAUGAUACCAGGUUAGAAAUUGCUUGGAGAGAUACGAAAUAUAGUCAAAGAAAAUAGAACAUUCAAGAAUUUUGAGUUCUCCUUAAGUUUUCUCAAGAAUCUUAACUUUCUUUGUAUAUAUUUUCCAACAGUAGACUUUUAUUUAUGAAAUAUAUAAGGUUAUUAGCUAUUCAUAUGUGGUCAAUAUUGUGAUUCAAAGGAAAUUUUUGUACAAAUAAUAUUGAUUAUAUUUUAUACGUUAGUUCUGUUUAGAUUUUAAUCAUGGUUGAUAUAUUGUGAUUGAUAG